CUUGCGACGCAGGCGCAGAGGCUGGGCGUGCAGCCGCCGCCGCAGAGCCGGAGCGGGGGCCGCCGGCGCCGCAUCCCUCUCUACCUGCCAACAUCCUGUAUUAGAGAACUUGUGGCCGGAGGUGUGGCUGUGGAGAGCUGGCCGGGGAGGGACGCUGCUCAGCUGCUGCUCUGCUCCUGUCUCCUGUCCCCUCCCCCGGCCAUGACAGAGACCCGUGAGCCAGCUGAGACUGGGGGCUACGCCAGCUUGGAAGAAGACGAUGAAGACCUUUCCCCAGGUAAGGUGGCCUUAGAGGUGGUGGCGUUGGCUUGACAGUCAUCCUGGCUUAGGGUUUGGCCUCCACUGGGAAAUGUUGAUGGGGAGUGGCUGCUUGUCUUGCUAGGGGUUCUAUUCUGACUGAGACUGCUUGUCCUAGUAGGGGAUCUCUUCCAGUCGGGACUUCUGGGGACUGUAGAUUGACUGGGGUCGCUCUCCUUGCUAGAGGUUCUAGAUUGGCUAUGAUUUCCUUCCUUGCUGGGGGUUCUAGAUCGGCUAUGAGCUUUCUCCUUGCUGGAGGCUCUAGGUCGACU
Molecule: small RNA, 569 nt
Filed under: Pan troglodytes (chimpanzee)
Lineage: Eukaryota; Metazoa; Chordata; Mammalia; Primates; Hominidae
Description: retained intron
Source: RNAcentral